This 253-nucleotide ribosomal RNA is filed under the name uncultured bacterium. Its description in RNAcentral is "partial 16S ribosomal RNA". It matches the Rfam family "Bacterial small subunit ribosomal RNA", at positions 524 to 776 of the family's 1533-position model. The record is from RNAcentral.
UACGUAGGUGACAAGCGUUGUCCGGAAUUAUUGGGCGUAAAGGGUGCGUAGGCGGCGCGGUAAGUCGGGUGUGAAAUCUCGGAGCUUAACUCCGAAACUGCAUUCGAUACUGCCGUGCUUGAGGACUGGAGAGGAGACUGGAAUUUACGGUGUAGCGGUGAAAUGCGUAGAUAUCGUAAGGAAGACCAGUGGCGAAGGCGGGUCUCUGGACAGUUCCUGACGCUGAGGCACGAAGGUCAGGGGAGCAAACGGG